Pistacia vera is the source of this 797-nucleotide long non-coding RNA. RefSeq lists it as uncharacterized. The record is from RefSeq and is a predicted model, not a curated record. The transcript has 3 exons. Lineage: Eukaryota; Viridiplantae; Streptophyta; Magnoliopsida; Sapindales; Anacardiaceae.
UGGUUAUGAAUCAUGUUUAAUAGCUUUUGCAAUGAAAUUCUUCUGUCUACUUGUUUUCUUGUUCUAAAAAGUCCACAACUGGUACUAGUGUUAGAUAACAAGUUUCUGUGCUUUGCCAUUUUAUUAUCCUAAGACUGAUUAUUAGUGAAACUGGAAGACCAGUGCCUUCCAUAAGAACAAUACUUAAUUUGUCCAAAUUAUGACAGUGAAUUUUGCUUUCUGCAGGAUGAUAAAUCUUCUACUUGUUUUCUGCUGCACUGUCAGAAGUUUAUCGAGUUAGUACGGGUUGGAGCACUAGAGGAGGCUGUGAAGUAUGGAAGGACUGAAUUAGCAAAAUUUUUUGGGUUGACUGGAUUUGCUGAUUUGGUUCAGGACUGUGUUGCUUUACUGGCGUAUGAAAAGCCACAGGAGUCAUCGGUGGGUUACCUUCUUGAAGAUUCACAACGUGAGGUUGUGGCUGAUACAGUUAACGCCAUGAUCUUGUCAACUAAUCCUAACAUGAAAGAUUUGCAAGGUUGCUUGCAUUCAUAUCUGGAGAGGUUACUCAGGCAGCUUACUGCUUGCUGCUUAGAGAGAAGAACAAUGAAUGGGGAUCAAGGAGAAGCUUUCAAACUACACCGGGUUUUGAACAGUGGUAAUAAGGCUAAGUGCUAGUUGAUGCAUGCUUCAUAUUCUCUUGUUCAUAUAGCAACUUGAUUUUCUCUCCACACUUCCCAUGGUGUUGUUAGCUGAUAAUCAAUACAUGGGAUGAUAGGGGCUUGUCAUUUAAUGGAAAAUUUCAAUCAAUACAAUACUUU